CCUGGCUGCAACAAAAGUACGGCUGCAGGUGCGUUCCUUCAGUUUUGCAGUUCGAUUUAUUACUUGUGCGUAUGUGCGUGUAUACUGAGAAAGAGGACGAGAUUAUUCUAUUCUAGCAGUCAUAUUUCUGUACAAAUCUGCUCCCCUCCACUCCUUUUUCGAUUGCCUGAAAUCUGAAUGUGAAAAGUAGUUGCAAAUUGAGAGCAGCAGCCUAAACGUGCAAAAGUUCAGAGUCAGAGGACGUGUAGGCUCGAAGAUGGGUUGCCAUGCUUUGUAAGUAUGAUUAGAUGGAUUAGUAACUUGCUUCUUUGUGUGCAAGACAAUGUAAUUAUGAUAAACUAUACGUAAUUAAACUAAUUGCAUACAUUUGAACUGUAAUUUCAUGGCUAGGCACUUUAUAUUGUGCAGAAUUCAUAGAUUCAUGCUUAAAUGAAGUGCAAUGUAUUUUCUCGGUGGGGGCAUUUGUGCACGCGGACAGAGGCGAUCAAGGGAAGCAGUCAUGAGCGAGGUGUUCGAGCGCUACGAGCUCCAGUAAUGCGAGUUCUCCGACGCCUCCGCUCUUGAUGGACGUACGUUCCCACCCGCCCCCCGUGACUAAUUCUAUCCGGAGAUUUCUCCCCCUUUUCGCUAAUGUUAGUUUCGUCUACAUGACGAGAUCGAUGCAUUGAAGAAGAAGCAGAAGCUCUCCGAGAUCCAGUCCGGUGCGCAGGAUGCUGUGUCGCUUGUAAAUACUUGAUUAAAUUUUAUUUAUAUUGAUACUUCUUUCCGCUGCCUUACAUUCUGCCGUUAGAAAGUUAUCAGCACUAGGCAUGUUAUUUUACCAGGAGGACGCUUUAUUUUGGUGUAGGUGAACAUGUGAUUUGGGGAAGCUCUGUAGAUCCAGUUACAUUGCGGACCUGCCAGCUACCAUCUAAAAAAUGGGUUGAUGAUCCAGGUACAUUGCUACUCGGCCUUGCCUUUAUUUGAAGUUUUCUGAGAUAAACUCUUUGAAACCUCAAAACAAACACUUCUGCUUCGGUAGACCCCCCUUAAACACAUUAACGAUUGAGAUUACUCCAUACCCCUUCAUAAUAAAGGGCACGAUGGUCAUUUUGAAAGUAUAUCACCUUUGAGUUUUUUUUUGAGUAAUUACCGAGCACGGAUACGGUGCACAACUGGGCCGGCCUACCAGGCGAGAGGCCACUUGCCAUUUGAGUGCGCGAGGUAAAAAUGCUGGGAAAAUUAGAAAACAAGAAUGAGGGGUCGAAUUCAUAACCUCAUCCUUCAGUUUAGGGGAGCUAGCCACUGGACUACGCCACCACUGCUGAAAAUGUAAAUCACGAAAUAUACUAUUAUUUGCUCCUUGUAGUACUUUGUACUCCUCAAGUUUUUUUUCCUUUUGAGAAUCUUUGUACUACUCAAGUUGUUCAAGGGUUCUGUGCGUCUAUAUUUAUUUUGUGUGGAGGAACGUAGCAAAGUACUACGUGGAUACAUGUGCAAAUCUCAAAUCGAUUUGUGCAAGCUAUACUUGUACACGUGUGCGCGCAUGUCAUUUCUGUUGAUUUCUUCGUCAUAGAUUCAUGGAUGUAGUCUAGUGUAUGUGUAUGUGUCUCCAAACAGCCAUUGUAUCAUGUAUGUAUGUUCCCUUUUUUAUAAUUUUGUUCCCAAAUUUAAAAAGUUGAUAAAUUUUAAAAAAAAUAUGUAGUAUGCAAAUUGUCUUCAAUAUAAAUUAUUGGGAAUUUGUUAACAAUUUUGAAAAAAUGUUCAAUUUUAUAAAAUUUCCAUACACAAUUUAAAACUUCAAAAUUAUUGACAAAAUUUCAAGAAGUGGUUACGAUAUGAGAAAAUAUUCAUGUUAAUUGAUAAUGACGAAAACUGCAAAUAACUAAAGCAUUCAAAUUAGGAAAAAAAUACAUGCUUAGAGAUCCAUCCGUCUGGCCUAGUCUAACACACUCCUCUCAACUGGUGUUUUUUUGGACCAUGGAUAAGUGACUCCAACUUCUGGCAGUAGCCUGGCACGAACAUAUGAGGCAUCCGAGCCAGGUUUAAACGACUUCCGACAUUGUUUGCACGUUGCCAUACGUCCGACAAGAUAUCAUACCCUUUUCACCGAGAAAACUCCAGAAAAUACAAAAUUUGUCAAGAAUCCAAACAACUUGGCAUAAUGCCUUGAAUUGGUCACAUAAGUUUGUGAAAAAAAACUGGGGCCAUUUGACAGAUGUGAAAAGACAAUGUGCUUUAAAACAGGCUCUUCUAGCUUUACAAAACACCCUCCGUUGAACAUGAUCUAGUUUUGGACAUUCUUAAAAUGACCUCAGCUUUUGCAAGUAGGUGGGUAUACCCGUGGUAGACAUCCAUGCCUAGUUUAAAUGAUUGCCGACACCAUAUGCAAGUUACGACACGUCCGAUCAUUUAUCUACAUUUUUGACUUAGAAAACUCCAGAAGAUGCAAAAAAACACGAAAACCGAAACAACUUGGGAUUGGUCAUAGCAGAUGGUAGAAAUUUUUUCGGGCCCAUUCGAAGGAUGUCGAGAUACAACGUGCUCACAAACGGAGCCUUGUGGGCAACCCGAACACCCUUCGUUGAACAUGGUCUAGUUUUGGACAUUCUUGAAAUGAAACCAACUUUUUCAAGAAGGUGUGCAUGCACAUGGUAGUCAUCCAUGCUAAGUUUGAAUGAUUUCUAACACCGUAUGCAAGUUGCGACACGUCCGGCCAUUUAUCUACCUUUUUUGUCUGAGAAAACUCCAUAAAAUGCAAAAUUUGUCAAAAACCAAAACAACAUGGCAUGGUGCCUUGAAUUACUCAUAGAAGAUGGUGGAAAGUUUGAAUGAUGUGCCCAUUUGAAUGAUGUCGAGAAAUGAUGUGCUCUCAGACGGAGCCUUCUGGCCAACGUAAACACCCUCCAUUGAGCAUGGUCUAGUUUUGUACAUUUUUGAAAUGUUACCAACUUCUUCAAGGAGGUGGGCAUGCCCAUGGUAGCCAUCCAUGCCAGAUUUGAACGAUUUCUGGCACCAUAUGCAAGUUACGACAUGUGUGACUAUUCAUCGGGCUUUUUUGACCAAGAAAACUCCAGAAAAGGCAAAGUUUGUCGAAACUAAAAAACUUGACAUGAUGCCUUGAAUUUGUCGUACAAGUUCAUGGUAAAAAAUAGGGUCAUUUAAAGGAUGUCGGGAAACAACGUGCUCUGAGGCGAAGCCUUCUAGCCUAACCGAACACCAUCCAUUAAACAUUGUCUAUGUUUGGACAUUCUUUAAAUGACCCCAACUUUUGUAAGCAUGUGGGCAUCCCAAUGGUUGGCAUCCAUGUUAGGUUUGAACGACUUCCGAUGCCGUAUGCAAGUGUCGCAAAUGUCGUGCCAUUUAUCGCUCUUUUUUUACCGAGAAAAUUUCAGAAAAUGCAAAAUUUUGUCGAAAACCAAAAUAACUUGGCAUGCCUUGAAUUGAUCAUACAAGGCCAUGGAAAUUUAGGCCAUUUGAAGGAUGUCGGGAUACAGGGUGCUCUCAAGCGAAACCUUGUGGCCACCCGAACACCCUCCGUUGAAUUUUUUUUGCCAUUCAUGAAAUGGUCUUAACUUUUGCUACCAGGGGGGCAUGCCCAUGAUAGGCAUAUAUGCCAGGUUUGACGUAAAAAUAUAUUUAAAAUUACUAUCUAAAAAGGUAACCAAGUUUUAAAACAAUAAUAAAUCAAAAAGAAGAAAAAUGAAUUAACAUGAAUAGAGAAGAAAAAAAAUAAAAGAAAAGAAUGCUUAGGCUUUGGCCCAACUAGGCGACAACAUCGCUCCUGUCAGGCGCCUAUUAGGCCGGCCUAAGCAUUCACAGAUUUUGAAAAGCACAUCAGUUUUUAGAAUAAUGUUCAUGGAUUUGAAAAAAUUUAUAGAUUUUCAAAAAAAAAAAGUUUACCAAAGAAAGAUGCAAAACAAUGUUCCCGAUUUUGGGAACCCAGCUUGCCAGCUGGAUUUAAAAAAACUCAUCGUAUGUGAAAAAAAAAGUUCAUCAAUCUUGAAAAAAAAAAUCACAUGUUUUGAAGAAGGGUUCACAGAUUUGUUUUUUAAUAAGGAUUCGAAACAAGUUCACAGAUUUGGAAAAUAUUUCAUAAAUUUAAUAAAAGUUAACGAUUUUUAAAAAGAAAACAAAAAUGGAAAAAAGUAGAAAACAAAAAAAAAUUGAAACUCGACAAAAAAUAUUGGAAACCCACUGCGUAUUAUAAGUAAGAUAGCUGUCGUACCAAUAAUUGUUACAACUACUAACGUGGUCUGUUGGUUACCUUGUUGUAUAGUCGAACGGGAGGUCUCUAGUUCGAACCAUGCUAUACGUAAGUGUGAAAAGUCCAUAUUACCCUUUAUACGGUUUGUAGGGGGGGUCUACCAAAGCGGAACUCCAAAACAAAUACUCUCGUAUUUUGAGGUUGCUACUUGCAGAUUCUUCAUCUGCUGAUCAAUUUGGUUGCAUUAUUUUGCACUGUAUCCGCCAAUUUGGUUGCAUAGUGCUCGUGUCUUUUACAUUAGUGUAAGUGUGGGUUGGGUUGCACAAUGUUGUCUGCAAGGUAUACCUUAGAAUGAUAAAGCACACAAGUGCUAUGGCCUAUGGGCCAAUUCUGCUGAAAGAAUAUGGUCCUUAAAUCAGCCUUUAUACAAUGUGAAAAAAGUAGCAUGCAUCAAUGAAACCCGAGGUUGCAAUAAACUUGGUUAUUCAUAACAGUAUGUACUAGCUUACUGCUGCUGGUCGAUUAUCAUUCUUUUUUUUAUCAGUACAUGACAUGUACCAAAAAAAUUGUAGACUACCUGUGCGGCCCUAUUUUGGGUUAUAUCAGGAUCGAUAACCAUAUAAAUUAAAUUUUGGUUUUAUUUGAAUCAAGCAGUUACGAAAUCUUAUGGUUUUGUGUUUUUUUAGAUAUUUGCUUCACAUAUCCAAUGUAGAUGAGAAUGGCAACAUUUAGUCACCAAAGAGAUUAUGCAUUGAAUCGAGGAGCACAUUGGUAGACCAAAAUUGCAAGCACCACCAUCAAAGCAAAGCUAUACAUUGAAAGUGAAAUGGCGUCCUCUCCAGUCGGACAUUUGUAAGGUUUGUGACACAUUUCAGAAGCGGAGAAGUGCCAUGUUCAAUUGUCAACUGAGAUGCGUUUGUUUUCAAGGUUGCCUGAGGAUGUGUGUUGCUCGGAAUAAGGCUCACUUCCAUUUAAUCCAAGUUCUUUCACUUACCUUAUUUGUCUCCUGGCACUUUUCAUGUGAUGUGUGAUUUCUUCCUUUUCAAAGUUGUUUGUUACUGAACCAGCCUGACCUAAAACUGAUUUGACUUAUGAUUACUUGGUAAUGCUUAUAGUUUUCUCGAACUUUUUAUGCUUGAAAGAAAGCAAAAUGAAUGUAUGUUGGGAUCAUGAAUCCAUUAAGUUAUGUAAGUAUCUCUUUCUGGUUUGAUUUUGGUAUCUUUUUUUCUUCAUGCAUUUAAUUUGUCGUGCACUUGUCUUCUGUAAGUUGCUAUAAGGAUUACAUAACAUUCUUUACCGAUUAU
This 5490-nucleotide long non-coding RNA is filed under the name Triticum aestivum (bread wheat). RNAcentral's name for it is "long non-coding RNA (TAES_LNC024301)". Lineage: Eukaryota; Viridiplantae; Streptophyta; Magnoliopsida; Poales; Poaceae. The record is from RNAcentral.